RNAcentral lists this long non-coding RNA (225 nucleotides) under Carica papaya (papaya). RNAcentral's name for it is "long non-coding RNA (CPAP_LNC010637)". The record is from RNAcentral. Lineage: Eukaryota; Viridiplantae; Streptophyta; Magnoliopsida; Brassicales; Caricaceae.
AGGAAAGUUUUUACCUUUUUUAGCAGCCGGAGGUGGCUCUGGCGCAACGGCGGCAGACGGUCGGCUCCCUUCUCUGGUGACUGAUUCUUCUUCUCCAGCAGGAGGCUAGCGGCUAAGGUUUUGGUUUGGUGUGAUGCGAAAUAUUUAUACCCGUAUCGUAUUAAUCUGAGUCGUUAAUUGUGUUUGAUCUCAACCGUCUGAGCGCAUUUAAAGAAAAAAUAAAUC